UGAACGCUGGCGGCAGGCCUAACACAUGCAAGUCGAGCGGUAGCACAGAGAGCUUGCUCUCGGGUGACGAGCGGCGGACGGGUGAGUAAUGUCUGGGAAACUGCCUGAUGGAGGGGGAUAACUACUGGAAACGGUAGCUAAUACCGCAUAACGUCGCAAGACCAAAGAGGGGGACCUUCGGGCCUCUUGCCAUCAGAUGUGCCCAGAUGGGAUUAGCUAGUAGGUGGGGUAAUGGCUCACCUAGGCGACGAUCCCUAGCUGGUCUGAGAGGAUGACCAGCCACACUGGAACUGAGACACGGUCCAGACUCCUACGGGAGGCAGCAGUGGGGAAUAUUGCACAAUGGGCGCAAGCCUGAUGCAGCCAUGCCGCGUGUAUGAAGAAGGCCUUCGGGUUGUAAAGUACUUUCAGCGAGGAGGAAGGCAUUGAGGUUAAUAACCUCAGUGAUUGACGUUACUCGACAGAAUAAGCACCGGCUAACUCUGUGCCAGCAGCCGCGGUAAUACAGAGGGUGCAAGCGUUAAUUCGGAAUUACUGGGCGUAAAGCGCGCGUAGGUGGUUUGUUAAGUUGGAUGUGAAAGCCCCGGGCUCAACCUGGGAACUGCAUUCAAAACUGACAAGCUAGAGUAUGGUAGAGGGUGGUGGAAUUUCCUGUGUAGCGGUGAAAUGCGUAGAUAUAGGAAGGAACACCAGUGGCGAAGGCGACCACCUGGACUGAUACUGACACUGAGGUGCGAAAGCGUGGGGAGCAAACAGGAUUAGAUACCCUGGUAGUCCACGCCGUAAACGAUGUCAACUAGCCGUUGGGAGCCUUGAGCUCUUAGUGGCGCAGCUAACGCAUUA
Molecule: ribosomal RNA, 843 nt
Filed under: uncultured bacterium
Lineage: Bacteria
Description: bacterial SSU rRNA
Rfam family: Bacterial small subunit ribosomal RNA
Source: RNAcentral